CUACACGGGUAUCUAAUCCUGUUUGCUCCCCACGCUUUCGCGUCUCAGCGUCAGUGUCCGUCCAGGUCGCCGCCUUCGCCACUGGUGUUCCUCCCGAUAUCUACGAAUUUCACCUCUACACCGGGAAUUCCGCGACCCUCUCCGGCACUCAAGUCCAAAAGUUUCCUGCGCACUUCCUUGGUUAAGCCAAGGGCUUUCACACAGGACUGCUUGGACCGCCUACAAGCGCUUUACGCCCAAUAAUUCCGAACAACGCUCGCACCCUCUGUAUUACCGCGGCUGCUGGCAC
This 289-nucleotide ribosomal RNA is filed under the name uncultured Myxococcales bacterium. Its description in RNAcentral is "partial 16S ribosomal RNA". Lineage: Bacteria; Pseudomonadati; Myxococcota; Myxococcia; Myxococcales. The record is from RNAcentral.